UGGGGAAUAUUGCACAAUGGGCGAAAGCCUGAUGCAGCGACGCCGCGUGAGGGAUGACGGCCUUCGGGUUGUAAACUUCUUUCAGCAGGGAAGAAGCGAAAGUGACGGUACCUGCAGAAGAAGCGCCGGCUAACUACGUGCCAGCAGCCGCGGUAAUACGUAGGGCGCAAGCGUUGUCCGGAAUUAUUGGGCGUAAAGAGCUCGUAGGCGGUUAGUCGCGUCUGCUGUGAAAACUCGAGGCUCAACCUCGGGCUUGCAGUGGGUACGGGCUGACUAGAGUGCGGUAGGGGUGACUGGAAUUCCUGGUGUAGCGGUGGAAUGCGCAGAUAUCAGGAGGAACACCGAUGGCGAAGGCAGGUCACUGGGCCGCAACUGACGCUGAGGAGCGAAAGCAUGGGGAGCGAACAGGAUUAGAUACCCUGGUAGUCCAUGCCGUAAACGUUGGGCACUAGGUGUGGGUCCAUUCCACGGAUUCCGUGCCGCAGCAAA
This 489-nucleotide ribosomal RNA is filed under the name uncultured bacterium. Its description in RNAcentral is "partial 16S ribosomal RNA". It matches the Rfam family "Bacterial small subunit ribosomal RNA", at positions 355 to 855 of the family's 1533-position model. The record is from RNAcentral.